GCCACUGUAGCUCAGCUGGUCAGAGCGACGGUUUCGUAAACCGUAGGUCGGGGGUUCGACUCCCUCCAGUGGCU
Molecule: transfer RNA, 74 nt
Filed under: Thermoplasmata archaeon
Lineage: Archaea; Methanobacteriati; Thermoplasmatota; Thermoplasmata
Also listed under: 2 other names
Description: tRNA-Thr
Rfam family: tRNA
About the family: Transfer RNA (tRNA) molecules are approximately 80 nucleotides in length. Their secondary structure includes four short double-helical elements and three loops (D, anti-codon, and T loops).
Source: RNAcentral